RNAcentral lists this ribosomal RNA (464 nucleotides) under uncultured bacterium. RNAcentral describes it as "partial 16S ribosomal RNA". It matches the Rfam family "Bacterial small subunit ribosomal RNA", at positions 29 to 507 of the family's 1533-position model. The record is from RNAcentral.
ACGAACGCUGGCGGCGUGCUUCACACAUGCAAGUCGAACGGAAAGGCCCUGCUUGCAGGGUACUCGAGUGGCGAACGGGUGAGUAACACGUGGGUGAUCUGCCCUGCACUUCGGGAUAAGCCUGGGAAACUGGGUCUAAUACCGGAUAGGAGCCAUUUUUAGUGUGAUGGUUGGAAAGUUUUUUCGGUGUAGGAUGAGCUCGCGGCCUAUCAGCUUGUUGGUGGGGUAAUGGCCUACCAAGGCGGCGACGGGUAGCCGGCCUGAGAGGGUGGACGGCCACAUUGGGACUGAGAUACGGCCCAGACUCCUACGGGAGGCAGCAGUGGGGAAUAUUGCACAAGGGGCGCAAGCCUGAUGCAGCGACGCCGCGUGGGGGAUGACGGCCUUCGGGUUGUAAACUCCUUUCGCUAGGGACGAAGCUUUUUGUGACGGUACCUAGAUAAGAAGCACCGGCUAACUACGUG